This is a non-coding RNA of Phoenix dactylifera (date palm), 4211 nucleotides long. Lineage: Eukaryota; Viridiplantae; Streptophyta; Magnoliopsida; Arecales; Arecaceae. The record is from RefSeq and is a predicted model, not a curated record.
UGGUGCUCCACGGAAUGCCGUGGACGCAUCAAUCUCCUCCGAACGGCGGCCAGCCCUCCCUCCGGCCACGUCCGACGGAAACGUAUUAAUAAAUGGAGGAGAGCAUGGGCCCCGCCGAGCCGGCCACCCACUGGUCCGCACGCUCCCUCCUCGCACGGAAGCGCUCUCUCAUACCUCCACCAAACCCUAGCUUCGCUUCUUCCCUUCUCCCACCUCUCAAACCCCCCAACUCCCUCUCGAUUUCUCGCUUGCCGAUUUGAUAGAGGAAUUAGUGCGGUGUUCCGCUGCCUAUCAUUCUCCAUUAAUCAGAUAAGCCAGGAAAAUGGGGGCCGCAGAGGAUGCCGAUGUGCCUCCAAUCCAGGAUGGGUUCCGCCAUCUGGAUAUGCAGUUCGACAGUGAAGACGCUGCAUACGCUUUCUACAAUACGUAUGCCGCUCGUGUCGGAUUCAGUGUCCGGAAGUCCAAAAUGUGGACGACUUCCAAGGAUGUUCUUGCGGCCAGGACAUUUCGUGUGCUCCAAGCAGGGCUUCCGCCAGAAGAAGAAGGGGUUCGAGCCGAAGAAGCCUCGGCCAGCGACGAGGACGGGCUGCCCUGCGUGCAUGACCAUCAAGAUUACUCCCAGCGGUAGAUAUCGUGUGACCGAAUUCGUGCCGGACCAAUAACCACCUGCUUGCGAACCCGUCGGCAGCUCACCUGCUCAGAUCCCACCGGUCAAAGUCAAAGCGAGAAUUGCGGAUGAUUCAGGGAUGCCGCCGGAUACUAGUGGCGAUCACCUGUUGAAGCGUAGGAAGGCGAUGCAGGUGGGUGACGCAGGUUGCUGUGCUCGAAUACCUUCAAAGACGCAAGUUGAGAAUCCGUCCUUCUUUUAUGCCAUACGAGUUGAUGGGGAUGAUAACAUGACUAGCUUCUUUUGGGCCGACGCAAAGUCCAUGAUGGACUAUCAGUACUUUGGCGAUGCGGUGUGCUUCGACACAACUUAUAAAGCAAAUGAUUAUGGUAGGCGUUUGCAUUGUUUGUCGGUGUAAACAAUCACAAGCAACGAUUAUCUUUGGCUCCGCACUGCUUUAUGAUGAAGUGUUGAAUCUUUUCCGGUGGCUGUUUGAUACCUUCAAGAAUGCAAUGCAUGAUAAACAGCCAAAGACAGUUCUAACAGAUAAAUGCAUGGAAAUAGCUGAUGCCAUUCAGUCGCAGCGUGGCCGGCCACAGCUCAUCGAAUAUGUGCGUGGCAUGUGUAACCAAAAUGCCAUGAAGCACCUAAAUCAAGUCUUUGAAAGGUUCGAAAACUUUUGCGCAUGACUUGGUCAAUGUAUUUUCGAUUAUGAAGAGGAAGAAGGAGUUCGUAUAUGCAUGGAGAGCAAUGGUAGACAAGUAUGAUCUCAAUGAUAAUGAAUGGUUGGCAAAGCUAUAAUGAAGAUAGGCUUAUGUGGGCUUUACCUUAUGGAAAACAAGUAUUUUGCGCAGAUAUCGGAAACAAUCUACAAAAGAAAACCUGGUCAGUCUGCUCAAGAAACAUUUGAGCCCACAACAAGAUUUUUGCCCUUUUUUGAGCAAUUAUGACACAUUACUGAAUGAGAGAAGGUGCCUGGAGUUACAAGCUGAUGUACAUGCUAGUCAAAAUUUCUUGAAAGCACCCUCUUUGGCGUAUGCUGAGCAAGCUGCAAAUGUUGUACACACCUGCAGUUUUUAAAGCAUUCCAAAUGAGUUUGAGAUUACAUGGACUGCAUGGUAUACCACUGUGGGAUGUUGGGGCAGUAUCAGAUUAUAAGGUGAUUGUUUGAUGAAAAUCUAUAGAGCAUUUUGUUAGAUAAUGACUCAUCAGACAAUUCAAUUUUUUGUAGUUGUUAAAAAUUUGAAUUUGCUGGAAUUCAAUGCCGUCAUGUGUUUAAAGUACUGGAUUAUAGAAAUAUCAAAACGAACUCUCCACCACGGUACAUCUUGAAGCGGUGGAGAAAAGAUGCUAAGCUGGCUGCUGUAAGAGACCGUCAUGAGUAUCCAUCUGCCCGACAGUUCCAAGUCACUCGUAGCAAAUCGUUAUAAAUUAUCUGUGGCUGCAAUUUUCAGUACAGUUGCAGCAAGGGCUGCAAGACAGUGGAAGCAUUUACAUUUAUUGAAAGCCAAUCAGAGUUGCUUCUGGAACAAGUAGAGCAUAUUUUGCAAACAAGAACUUUUGAGAUACCGCAAUUGACUAUCGCCUCAAUUAUACAACCACGGAAUCUGAUUGAUAGUGUAGUUGAAAGUCUAAAUCAUGAUAAUAACGCUGACACAAAUGUUAUCAUUAGUGCAACAAAUGGUAUAUCCUUUAUUUACUGAUCUACAGGUUCUGGAAACUAUGCUUGAUACUUUGUCAAUAUCAAAUCAGUACUUCUAAAUAUUUGCAGGUAUCUUAGGUUUCUGAUGCAUGUUUUCAGCCAUUCUAUGCCACUGCUUAAAUUCAGUCCAGACCAUGAAAUUUCCCAAAUGAUUGUUCUCUAACAAGAUAUAAAGACAAUACAGAUGAAGACUACUCUGACAGGGAGGACUUUGAAGGCGAGGAAUUUUUGAAGAUUUGUCUGAGAAAGAUUGGAUAUUGUUGACUUUAGUGGACAUGUAUUCCCUGCAAAUGAGGCUUCCUGAGCCAUAGAUUGAUGUGGUCCAAAUGCUUCUCUUUUGGAGCUAGCAGAUUCCAUACAUGCUGAGCAGAUCACAGAAGAACCUGAUUGUCAUUUAGGAGAAUCUCCUAUAUGAGGUUCUGCUGAAGAGAUAGGUAAUAAAGGAGGUAUGCCACAGAAGACAAAUGGCAAGAGGAAAUGUUUGCUGGCUGACAAUGAAUCCAUGAUCUGUAUUCCAGAUCCAACCAUUGGAAUUGGGCUUCUGAAUCAGAGUAUGCAUAUUGCAACAAGAAAGGUACCUGAGGCAGCUACAGGUCCACCAUACUUCUAAAAUGUGGCCCUAGCACCAGGAGAUAGUUGGGAAAGAAUCUCAUGAUUCUUAUAUGACAUUGAGCUGGAGUUCAUGGACUGAAAUUGCUUUUGUGCUGCUGCCCGAAAGAGAGCUUAUGUUCAGCAACCUGCCAUCCAUGAUGGAUCUCCUCUUCGUCCCUUCUCAAUUCUCAAUCAUUUCUCAAAAAAAUCAUUUAGUGAUUUAUCAUUUGACACUGUAUUGGCCAACUGCUGGUUGGCAGAAAGACUAAGACAUACUUUAUGUGAUUCUUUGGCUAGAAUAUCAAUUAUUUAUUAUGCUAAUAUCGAUGUUGAUCACAUGCCUCAAUACCCAUAGGCAUACUAAUCUCCCGGCAUUCACACCAAACUGUGGCGAUGGAAGAAGUCUUCAACUGGACGACCAAGAGCAGUGGCUUUGGUGUUUGGGAUAUGUGCUACACUAGGAUAUUUUUGAUACAUUGUGCUACUUUUCUUUCUGUCAGAUUUGUGGUUUAGGUGCGGACUUAUGAAGAUUCUCUUUGAGAGUGUAUUUUGUUCUCUGAAAUUUUCUGAGGUACUGAGAUCGGUUUACUGUUCUGUUUUUCCAAGUACGAACCAUUUUCUUGUCUUGGAACAUAUAAUUACAAGAUGCCUCUAUAGGUAGGUUUCAUGGUAAACAUUGAAAGUAACACUGAUCAGUAUUGUGCCCUAGGUUCUAGCAGAGUUCUAAUCCUCUACGGUAAUGCAUGUCUAGAUGGAUGGCUGUUACCCAUUGUACUAGCUUGAGAGAUGGUGCGACAACAAUCCAUUUCCUAAUUAUGGUAGCUUGAGAGAUGAUCGACAGCCAUCCAUUUUUGAGAAGGGCGACGUGUCAUCCAUCCAAAUAUGCAUUGCGGUGCAAAAUAUGCAUAUCAGAGGAUCUCGGCUUGCAGAAACCAUGGUAUGGUUCUUAUCAGGGCGUUUGCUGACCACUGGCUCUCAGUGGCUUUGGCCAUUGCCUACAGAUAGGAUUCUCACCACCCAUCAGGUAUGAAAACAUUGUCAUUGGUUGCCAUGUUUACAGGAGCUUCACCCAGGGUCUUCCAAGACCCUGAUUUCACUUGAGAACGUCGACUGUUACACCUCCAAUUGCUGUGUCUGGAGUCUGGACCAGCAGAUCCCGCCACCUUCUUAACAAUUUUCGACCCUGGUACUGCAGGAUAGAUAACCUUUCUUGCCCAUUUAACCGAACAAUCUUCUUUUUGGUUUGAAUUGUAACAUCAUUGAGAAAAAGACACUUCAGACUAUUUGUGUUCAUUUAGAGUUCCAACUGAA